GACAGAGGUGCCAAGCGUUAGGCGGAAUCACUGGGCUUAAAGCGUGUGUAGGCGGGCGGGCAAGUACCUUGUGAAAUCCCACGGCUCAACCGUGGAACGGCUGGGUAUACUGCCUGUCUUGAGCCAGCUAGGGGCGACCGGAACAGACGGUGGAGCGGUGAAAUGCGUAGAUAUCGUCUGGAACGCCAAAGGUGAAAACAGGUCGCUGGGGCUGAGCCGACGCUGAGACACGAAAGCCAGGGGAGCGAACGGG
This 253-nucleotide ribosomal RNA is filed under the name uncultured bacterium. Its description in RNAcentral is "partial 16S ribosomal RNA". It matches the Rfam family "Bacterial small subunit ribosomal RNA", at positions 524 to 776 of the family's 1533-position model. The record is from RNAcentral.